Molecule: ribosomal RNA, 254 nt
Filed under: uncultured bacterium
Lineage: Bacteria
Description: partial 16S ribosomal RNA
Rfam family: Bacterial small subunit ribosomal RNA
Source: RNAcentral
UACGUAGGGUGCGAGCGUUGUCCGGAAUUAUUGGGCGUAAAGAGCUCGUAGGCGGUCUGUCGCGUCGAUCGUGAAAACUUGGGGCUUAACCCUGAGCUUGCGGUCGAUACGGGCAUGACUGGAGUUCGGCAGGGGAGACAGGAAUUCCUGGUGUAGCGGUGAAAUGCGCAGAUAUCAGGAGGAACACCGGUGGCGAAGGCGGGUCUCUGGGCCGAUACUGACGCUGAGGAGCGAAAGCGUGGGGAGCGAACAGG